RNAcentral lists this ribosomal RNA (269 nucleotides) under uncultured prokaryote. Its description in RNAcentral is "partial 16S ribosomal RNA". It matches the Rfam family "Bacterial small subunit ribosomal RNA", at positions 524 to 792 of the family's 1533-position model. The record is from RNAcentral.
GACGGAGGGUGCUAACGUUGCUCGGAAUUACUGGGCGUAAAGCGCGUGUAGGCGGGUUGGAAAGCGGGAUGUGAAAGCCCUCGGCUCAACCGAGGAAGUGCAUUUCGAACUACUAGCCUUGAGUGCGGGAGAGGGAGGUAGAAUUCCCGGUGUAGAGGUGAAAUUCGUAGAUAUCGGGAGGAAUACCGGUGGCGAAGGCGGCCUCCUGGACCGACACUGACGCUGAGACGCGAAAGCGUGGGGAGCAAACAGGAUUAGAUACCCGCGUA